Molecule: non-coding RNA, 5585 nt
Organism: Zootoca vivipara (common lizard)
Lineage: Eukaryota; Metazoa; Chordata; Lepidosauria; Squamata; Lacertidae
Source: RefSeq, a predicted model, not a curated record
CCCGUCUCGGCAGUCCAUGUGCCACGUCACGUGAGCUGUCAGAUUGCUGGCCGCGUGUCCGUCCGUGCGCCACCUGAGCUUGAGCCACACCCCCUCUCGCGCCUCUAGAGCUGCUAGUUCUAAGCCACGCCCCCGCUGCUGCUACGCCGCCUCCCAGUCCUUUCCUGCCUGUUGCCUCUGCUCUGCGGUUUCUUCCCGAUUUCAUUCCGUGCAAGUCCUUGUUUGGGCGCGUUGCUUGCUGCUUUUCUUUCCUGCCCAGGGCUACUGGUUCCAUAACUGGGUCUAAAGAACUGAAAAUGUGGGAUGUUCAUAACCAAGGCAGUAGAUUUUAACCAGUAGAGAGGAGGAGGAAGCUUUUUUUCACACCAGGAAAAAAAAUGGACACCUGUUGGAUUUCUGCCUGUUCCAUUGAAGGUGCUGGCAUCUGGUUAGAAAAUGGCAAUGAUAACUUUGGAGAAUUCCUCCAGACUUAUACACAAGCGCAGGUCACAAUGAUGAAUUGCAACUGCGGAACAAAGAGAAAGAUCCCCCCUCCUCCUUACUUAAUUUUACUUAUCUUUGUCCACCCACUUUCCCACCCUACUCAAUAUUUGUACUGGAGAAAGGCUUAUUCCUCACAGAAUUGGCUCAUGUGGUUGGAAGCAAUCUUCAAAAAGCGCCCUUCAUUUCUAAUUUACCAUAUCAGUCCACCCUAACACAAUAAAACACACUGCAAUAAAUCAUUUUUAUAAAAAGACUCUUACGCUUCUGUUCACACUCCUGCUUAUUGUGCACAUUCUGCAUUUCCAAUACUGGGUUUUUAAUCCAUAUUCACAUGACAUCCCAAAUGUGUAUGUAUCCUGCUUGUUGUAUUGUUUUUCAAACCUACUUCACACCCAUUGGAAUCCUUAAGCCAUUUCUAAUUCAUCUCUAGCUAAGAUAUGAACAUUUUUGCAUAGGGUAAAGACAUCCCCACUCAGUCAUCACCCCCUGGUAUGUGCACAAACAAAAACUAAUUGAAGUUGUGCUGAUGUGAAUUUAAUUUACCUUUCAUUUUAUCUUCCAAAAAUACUUUUUUGGCAUAACUCAUUUGUUUCAGAUGCAGAAAUCCUGGACUUCACUUUCACCCUCCUUUAAUUUGUUCUUUUCCAAUUUAUCUGAACAUUCUACAAUAGGCAUCCCCAGACUUCAACCUUCCAGAUGUUUUGGACUACAAUUCCCAUCUUCCCCGACCACUGGUCCUCUUAGCUAGGGAUCAUGGGAGUUGUAGGCCAAAACAUCUGGAGGGCCGCAGUUUGGGGAUGCCUGUUCUACAACCUUGUAGUCACCAGAGUAUUUGCCCAGGGCUAUCCAAACAGGGCCACAUUUUAAGAAUGUGUAUCUAAGUGCACAGGUUUCUAAUAGAUAUUUGACAUGUCAAGUAUUAGCCCUACAUUUGCAGCUUGUAUUGAAAAAGGCAUAAUGAAUAAACAAGAGGACUGUUGCAGCCUGAGGAGUUUCAUGGUUACCUCAGAACUCCUGCUUUAUCGGGGAAUUUACUUAAGUUGCUGUCUUUUUUUUAGUUUUAGUUUAGUGUUUUGUUUACUGUUACAUAUGUGUUUUUACAUGAAUAAAAUGUGGUUCCUUUAGCUGUUGUUGGACUUCAACACCCAGCAACCCCAGCCAGCAUGGCAAAUGGUCAGGGAUUGUGGGAGUUGCAGUCCAACAGUUGGAGAGCCAUUACUUCAGCAUCCCUAUGCUAGGUUUCUAGAGGGUACAAAAGAGUUUUCAGAAGACCAUGAAAGAACAUUGGGAACAGAGAAAUAUAUCGUUAAUUAUUUAAUCCUCAAUUUAAACUCAAACAUUUCUUAAAGUGAGUUCAUUUGCAGUUUUUAAAAAUAAGGAUCUUUCUUGGCAAAAUGGCAUGCAUGUUCUAUGGGGGUUUUAUUACUAGAGUAUUAACAUUUGAAUGAAAAUGUGGAGAAGCGCAACAUAAUGCAAAUAACAAGUAAAAUUAACUGGCAUGCGAUGUAAUUUGAACAAAGUAGAUUUUCAUAAUCUCUGCAAUGUCUGCUGAACACUUCUCCAAUAAUUUACAUGUUGCCAGCCUGAGUUGUUUUGCUUUGAUAUUGGAAAAAGUAGUUGCUGGACGAAAAUCAAUUUUAUUCUUCAGAAAAUAACAAAGCUUAUAAUCAGCAGGAGUUGGCAGUGAUUCAUAUUAUGAUGGAAAUUUGUUUACCUGACUGGACUACUUGAUUAACAUUGCAAUCCUGCUCCUUGUUUAAGCCAUCUCAGGUGGGGUUAAGAUUGUUCCUAAAUCCACCUUUCUCAACAGAGCCUGGAUGUGCACUGGCAAAAGGAAUCUAUGUGGGUACUGCAGAAUCCUUAUGCUAUCGGAGCUGGGUGACAUUGGAGAGAAGGGCAUCUGCUAAGUUCUCCAGGUCAUUUCUGAGAAAGUGGUGUGAAUGACUCAUUUAAACAACAUGUUUUCAAGGGAAUUGCUCAAUAGCCAAACCAGAGUUGCCAAAUGUCAUGUUGAAAUGGGCCCCAGGAAAGCCAAGCAUCUACCGGUAGGAUAUUCUUCUGGCAAAUAUAGUCAUUUAUCAAAUACAUUCAAAUAAACAUCUUUUACAACUGCUUGCUUUUAAACAGAGGUCUGUCCCUUCCCCCAAAUUUCCUCCACUUCUGUGGAGUUCUGUGCGCCAUUCAUUUCCUUCACAGCAGACUAUGGCUACAGAAUGAGCCUGGAAUAGGCUAUGCCAUUUCAGAGUAGAAAUAGGGGUGGCCACUUUUGAAUCUUUCCCCAAGGAAAACAAAAACAAAAGCACAGAAGCACAGCUCCCUGCACAUAAAAAACUAGCAUUACAAACCAGCCUGCUGUGCCAGAUGUCUAUUUGCAGGUAUCUUUAAUGGGAUCAGGAUUUGAAGAUGUGAUUACUCCAUCUGCAACCUGAAGUGGUGCAGUCCAUUCUUCCUCUUACAGGUCCUUCCACUUAAUGCUGCUAUAGGUGUAAACCAAAUUGCAUGUCUCUUUUGUCCCACACAGCUCCGUUAAUAACAUGUGCCUUACCUGAUCCCAAGUAUCUAGCAGCAUGACGUCAUCUUCAGCCAAGUCCUCCUGAGUGAAUUCUCCAGGAACCUCCUCAAUCUAUGUUUUUAAACAACAACAACAACACUUGGAGACAUACGUUCCUGUAUACAAAAUAGCGCAGACUAGUCUACAAUGAUUUAUGAGUGGAUGUCGAGGUAGAGUCCAGCUUAUGCUGGAAGUGGCAGAAGCUAUUUAAGGGUUGGUGAAGGUUGGGGGUCAAAAUCACAAGCAAUGGACAGUAUAGGUUGGACUGUGGGAGGUUGAAAGGAAGAAAUCACAGCCAGGAGAACAUUUAGAGACUGAAUCACAGUCAAGAUACUACAGUCAGGUGUUCAGGACCAGCUGCAGCAAGGUAAAGAUAAAGGGACCCCUGACUGUUAGGUCCAGUCGUGACCGACUCUGGGGUUGCAGCGCUCAUCUCGCAUUAUUGGCCAAGGGAGCCGGCGUACAGCUUCCAGGUCAUGUGGCCAGCAUGACUAAGCCGCUUCUGGUGAACCAGAGCAGCGCACGGAAACACCGUUUACCUUCCCGCCGGAGUGGUACCUAUUUAUCUACUUGCACUUUGAUGUGCUUUCGAACUGCUAGGUUGGCAGGAGCUGGGACCGAGCAACAGGAGCUCACCCCGUCGCAGGGAUUCGAACCGCCAACCUUCUGAUCAGCAAGCCCUAGGCUCAGUGGUUUAACCCACAGCACCAUCUGCGUCCCAGCUGCAGCAAGAGGGGAGGCCAAAGUGUCAAGGGUUAGAAUAGAUUAUAUCUGGUCUUUACUGAGCAUUCACUCUGAUUAUACAGUGGUUAUAUGGCAGUGAGCACUCAUCCUAAUUUGCUGGUGGGGUGUUCAUGUCCUUUCAUAAAUAAUUUGUUCAUCCCAGACUUUCCAAUGCAUUCCCCCAUCACGUUCCAAAGUAGUGACAGUCAGGAGGCACCCAUAUUUUCACAAACCAAAUAAUGUGGAACACAUCCUUCUUGGCCAACCAGAAUCUAGGACUAGCCAAAAGACAGAGAUGUUCCAGGUGGCAUUACACCUAUGGCAGCGCUUGUUAUUUAGCUGUCUGGAAACUUACCCAGGCAGUGAAUUUGAGGCUGUUGCUGAUUUAUUUUUAAUAAGAAAUGGACAUAUUGUGCUUGCACUGAGGAACCAGGUUUAGAAAGGAUUUAAAUAAAGAAUGAAAUGCAGUAAAUCUGUUAAAUUAACUAGACUCCCGGUGACAUUACUUUAUUUUUUAAAACCAAUUAGCAGAUUUUUUAAAAAAAUAGAGAAACACUUUUUUGGUACAGAACAUUGCAUUUUAGAAAAUUAGGGCAGAUGUGUGUGGGAAUUUGCAUUGCACUUGUUACUUGACUAAUGAGUAAGCUGUCAUCAUUCGAUACAAUAUAAAGCUACCAAAUAAGAGAAAAUAGGAUAGUGACUACUAAAAAGUUCAUCUCCCUCUCCCUUUGUACACAGAGCAACUAGAAUGCUGCUAAACGAUAAAAUUAAACUGGAUACUUCAGUCCUUCCCAUACAACUUUGAAACCUCUUACACUGCAGAAGUAUAUGUUUUCAUAAUCAAGCCAAGCUUUGUUCCAUUAAUAUGUUCUUCCUCAAAGCUUCCUGUGUUUUUACAGAAAGGUAUCAAGUUACUAUGUUCAGAUAUGUUGAGAACAAAAAUAUCCCACAAAGGGCCAGUGAAAGAUGUAGGGCCAACAGAGGCAAGCUGCCCUUCCCCCCACCAAUUUCCUCUCAUUGCCUUGCCCACCUACUCCCUGCCUCUCUCCGAGAAAGCGGUAAGGGGCUCCUUCCUCAGAGUGAGGCAUUCUGGGUGAGAUGCCCAGAGAGCACCCACACAGCUGUGGCAUUGCUGCCAAACCUACAAGUUCGAAGUUAACUAGGUUUAAUUAGAACUUGUAGCUGCCUCGGCAAAGUGAUGGCUGCACUUUCCCAGAAAACCUCAGCCAGCAUGCUUUACUUUGGCAAGGGAUCCCCUUCGGUCCUCAGAGUAGGGCAGGGUGGAAGAGGCGGAGGCCCUGCAGAAGGACCUUGUGCUGCGGCAGUGGCAUAACAGACAGAGAGGACAGCAAGCCGUAGGCCCACCGGUUGACAAUUCCAUCACACCCACUUCUUGCAAUGACUAUCUCCUGUGUUCCCUCAUCAGAGCACCAGCCUUCAUCCCCCUUAUUCUAUGUUUUUGUUCUGGUCAGAAACAUGCGACUGGAAACAUUCGAGGUUGACCACUAAGGUGUGACUAUUUAGGGGGCAAAUAAAAAAAAAGACAAUUUUUUUCCACCAUUCGCUCUGACUUAAUUAUAUAGCAAAACUGGAAGAUCUCAAUGGAGUAUCAGAUGAGUAUGCAUGUAUAUAAGUCAGUUGCUUUGUUUCUUCAGAGUCCAGAUACACUUGAUGGACACAUGGAACCAUGAUUUAUAAUUAGACAUUUAGGUGAAGCAAUGAGCAGAUAAGAAACUCUCUAUCUUGUUUUUAUUUAAUUAGUAUUAUUUGUUAUCAAUGUUUGUGUUAUGGAAAGUGGUCCUGGAAAAUGUUUCUUCUAGUUGUUGUU